GGGACACGUGGUAUCCUGUCUGAAUAUGGGGGGACCAUCCUCCAAGGCUAAAUACUCCUGACUGACCGAUAGUGAACCAGUACCGUGAGGGAAAGGCGAAAAGAACCCCGGCGAGGGGAGUGAAAAAGAACCUGAAACCGUGUACGUACAAGCAGUGGGAGCACCUUCGGGUGUGACUGCGUACCUUUUGUAUAAUGGGUCAGCGACUUAUAUUCUGUAGCAAGGUUAACCGUAUAGGGGAGCCGAAGGGAAACCGAGUCUUAACUGGGCGUUAAGUUGCAGGGUAUAGACCCGAAACCCGGUGAUCUAGCCAUGGGCAGGUUGAAGGUUGGGUAACACUAACUGGAGGACCGAACCGACUAAUGUUGAAAAAUUAGCGGAUGACCUGUGGCUGGGGGUGAAAGGCCAAUCAAACCGGGAGAUAGCUGGUUCUCCCCGAAAGCUAUUUAGGUAGCGCCUCGUGAACUCAUCUUCGGGGGUAGAGCACUGUUUCGGCUAGGGGGCCAUCCCGGCUUACCAACCCGAUGCAAACUACGAAUACCGAAGAAUGUUAUCACGGGAGACACACGGCGGGUGCUAACGUCCGUCGUGAAGAGGGAAACAACCCAGACCGCCAGCUAAGGUCCCAAAGUCAUGGUUAAGUGGGAAACGAUGUGGGAAGGCACAGACAGCCAGGAUGUUGGCUUAGAAGCAGCCAUCAUUUAAAGAAAGCGUAAUAGCUCACUGGUCGAGUCGGCCUGCGCGGAAGAUGUAACGGGGCUAAACCAUGCACCGAAGCUGCGGCAGCGACGCUUAUGCGUUGUUGGGUAGGGGAGCGUUCUGUAAGCCGUUGAAGGUGUGCUGUGAGGCAUGCUGGAGGUAUCAGAAGUGCGAAUGCUGACAUAAGUAACGAUAAAGCGGGUGAAAAGCCCGCUCGCCGGAAGACCAAGGGUUCCUGUCCAACGUUAAUCGGGGCAGGGUGAGUCGACCCCUAAGGCGAGGCCGAAAGGCGUAGUCGAUGGGAAACAGGUUAAUAUUCCUGUACUUGGUGUUACUGCGAAGGGGGGACGGAGAAGGCUAUGUCAGCCGGGCGACGGUUGUCCCGGUUUAAGCAUGUAGGCGGAGGUUCCAGGUAAAUCCGGUACCUUAUUAACGCUGAGGUGUGAUGACGAGGCACUACGGUGCUGAAGUGAUAAAUGCCCUGCUUCCAGGAAAAGCCUCUAAGCAUCAGGUAACACGAAAUCGUACCCCAAACCGACACAGGUGGUCAGGUAGAGAAUACCAAGGCGCUUGAGAGAACUCGGGUGAAGGAACUAGGCAAAAUGGUGCCGUAACUUCGGGAGAAGGCACGCUGAUAUGUAGGUGAAGCCCCUGCGGGCGGAGCUGAAAUCAGUCGAAGAUACCAGCUGGCUGCAACUGUUUAUUAAAAACACAGCACUGUGCAAACACGAAAGUGGACGUAUACGGUGUGACGCCUGCCCGGUGCCGGAAGGUUAAUUGAUGGGGUUAGCGGCAACGCGAAGCUCUUGAUCGAAGCCCCGGUAAACGGCGGCCGUAACUAUAACGGUCCUAAGGUAGCGAAAUUCCUUGUCGGGUAAGUUCCGACCUGCACGAAUGGCGUAAUGAUGGCCAGGCUGUCUCCACCCGAGACUCAGUGAAAUUGAACUCGCUGUGAAGAUGCAGUGUACCCGCGGCAAGACGGAAAGACCCCGUGAACCUUUACUAUAGCUUGACACUGAACACUGGUCCUUGAUGUGUAGGAUAGGUGGGAGGCUUUGAAGCGUGGACGCCAGUCUGCGUGGAGCCGCCCUUGAAAUACCACCCUUUAAUGGCUGGUGUUCUAACGUAGACCCGUGAUCCGGGUUGCGGACAGUGUCUGGUGGGUAGUUUGACUGGGGCGGUCUCCUCCCAAAGAGUAACGGAGGAGCACGAAGGUUGGCUAAUCCUGGUCGGACAUCAGGAGGUUAGUGCAAUGGCAUAAGCCAGCUUGACUGCGAGCGUGACGGCGCGAGCAGGUGCGAAAGCAGGUCAUAGUGAUCCGGUGGUUCUGAAUGGAAGGGCCAUCGCUCAACGGAUAAAAGGUACUCCGGGGAUAACAGGCUGAUACCGCCCAAGAGUUCAUAUCGACGGCGGUGUUUGGCACCUCGAUGUCGGCUCAUCACAUCCUGGGGCUGAAGUAGGUCCCAAGGGUAUGGCUGUUCGCCAUUUAAAGUGGUACGCGAGCUGGGUUUAGAACGUCGUGAGACAGUUCGGUCCCUAUCUGCCGUGGGCGCUGGAGAAUUGAGGGGGGCUGCUCCUAGUACGAGAGGACCGGAGUGGACGCAUCACUGGUGUUCGGGUUGUCAUGCCAAUGGCACUGCCCGGUAGCUAAAUGCGGAAGAGAUAAGUGCUGAAAGCAUCUAAGCACGAAACUUGCCCCGAGAUGAGUUCUCCCUGAGACCUUGAGUCUCCUGAAGGAACGUUGAAGACGACGACGUUGAUAGGUCGGGUGUGUAAGCGCAGCGAUGCGUUGAGCUAACCGAUACUAAUGAACCGUGAG
RNAcentral lists this ribosomal RNA (2518 nucleotides) under Enterobacter hormaechei. RNAcentral describes it as "partial 23S ribosomal RNA". It matches the Rfam family "Bacterial large subunit ribosomal RNA", at positions 419 to 2915 of the family's 2925-position model. Lineage: Bacteria; Pseudomonadati; Pseudomonadota; Gammaproteobacteria; Enterobacterales; Enterobacteriaceae. The record is from RNAcentral.